This 4316-nucleotide long non-coding RNA is filed under the name Mus musculus (house mouse). RNAcentral's name for it is "myeloid RNA regulator of BCL2L11 induced cell death". The record is from RNAcentral. Lineage: Eukaryota; Metazoa; Chordata; Mammalia; Rodentia; Muridae.
GCUGGGGGGUGUAUGGUGUGUGUGUAUAUGUGCUUGUGCAUUGUGCAUGCAAAUCUGUAUGCCUGUGCACUCCUGUGCAAAGAGAGGAGAAGGGCCUUCAGUGUCCUUUUCUAUCAAGCUCCACUUAAUUCCCUUGAGACAGGUCUCACAGAGACCCUGAAACUCACCAUUUUCCAGCAGGCCCCAGAGCUCCUCCCAACCCCCUCGGCCUUCUCUUCCAGGUUAAAACAAGGUCCAAGAAACACUGGGACCUUGCCCUUAGUUCCCUGACCUACACUGAGUGUGACAAUGGGAUUUCCCUCUAGGAGCUGUUGUGAGGACCAUCGGCUACCACACCAUUGUAAUUAAUAUUGAUAUCAUUUGUACAUGAUAUUGAAAAGCUUUGAGGUCACAGUGUGAUGAUGACCUGAUUAAACAGGUUUGAACAUACUGGGGGUUCAAACCCAGCUAUUCACGCCUAUGUAACAUGUCUCUACCACCAGACCCCACCCUGCUUUUUCUUUUCUUUUCUUUUCCUCUUCUUCUUCUUCUUUUUUUUUUUUUUUGGAUACAGGAUUCAUAGUUGUCCUGCCAAAAAGAAUCUCUGACUCCAAGGAUGUUUUCUCAAGGGAUUCCCGCCCGCACUGCCAGUUACCAUCAGCAGGACUCCUGACUGCCUGACUCCACUCCAUUUCUCAUGGAAGCCAGAAGGUAGUGCAGGCUGUCCCCACCCCCAGGGUGACAAAGCUGUGAUGAGGAGCCACCCCAGAAGAGGGAACUGGCACCUCAGCCUGAGAACUGGCCCUAUGGCUAACCGAGUAGAGGAAGCUUAAUUCUUUCUUUUUUAAUUUUGCAUUUUAUUUUAAAUUUUUAUUAUUAAAAUACAACAAACAUAUCAAUAAUAUUGAGUAUUUUGAGAAUCAAAUAAUAUAUAAAAAAUUUGUUCAACUUUUAUAUUCAUAUCCUUUCAUACCCUAAAAGCAUCAUUAAUGAAUAUUUAAUACUGUCCAUAACUGAGGAUUCUGUAUCUAAUGUUGAAUACUAAAUUGUUUCAAAACAUACAAAAUAUUUCUUGGGAAUUAGGCAUAGUAAAAGAGCAUAAAAUAUUAAAAAUGAAUCAUUAAGAAAUACAUUCAAAAGUCCUUAUAUGAUACCACCUGACAUAGUGAGAGAGUAUUUAAAACUCAUUCUAUAUCUGUGUACAUGGUCUAACAAUCCGCUUAUUUAAGCAAGAUUAUCAGUGUUUCUAGGAGAGAAAUUAUUUUAUCAGUAAGCAUAUUUUAAAAAUUUCAAAAUAGCAAAAACUUUGAAGUUAAACAUUAAGAAAAUGCUAAUUUUAAGCAUGAGAAAAAUUAUUAAUACUAUUUCCAUGGUGUUUGUAGACCAUGACCGUAAUAUUCUCAACUGUUAAUAUUCAACAGACAGAAUAGUUAUUUUAAGAUAUAUUUCAUUGUUUUCUCUCCCUUUUCAUUUCUGAUUUUAUUAAUUUGGAUUCUGAACUCUGUGCCCUCUGGUUAGUCUGGCUAAUGGUUUAUCUUGUUGAUUUUCUCAAAGAACCAACUCCUGGUUUUGUUGAUUCUUUGCCUAGUUCUUUUUGUUUCUCUUUGGUUGAUUUCAGCCCUGAGUUUGAUUAGGAAACUUAAUUCUUAGAGAGGCGCCUUCCCCACUACGCCUGUUGCUACUAGAGAGGCAACUCUUCCCUUUCCACAGAGCCCCUGACAGACCUGAGGAGAGUGGGUGCCAGUGAGUCCUGAGUCUCCUGCACAGUCCCUGCCUUCCCUUUAUCUGCAGCCUGGGCAUUCUUGACUCUUGUCUGACAUCUCCCACCCCCUUCACAGUCUAAGAGUUGGUAAUUAAUUAGCCUUGACCUUAACCUUUGACACCACCCAGCCAUCCAGAUGGGUUAUCCACACCUGGUAACUGACCUGGGGUCACCCCUCCACUCUGCCCAGCUGCCGCCCUACUGGGCUGAAUUUUAUGUUUGCUUGUCUUUCUCUGAAUCAGAUUUUUUUCUGGUCACUUACUAUAGCUGACAGCUCCAUGCUGGCAUCACUCUUCAGUCUGAAACCUACAGCUUUUUUUCCUCCCUUACUCUGAUAUACUUUCUUCAUUUGCUUUUCCCAUUGGGCCCAAGAAUGGAGAUCAGGGUGUGCUGUCUUUGAAUCAAGGUGGAAAUGUGUCUACAGAGUCCCCUCCCUGCCCCGGGUAUCCUGAGCUACUGAGCUAAGCAAUGUGGUAAAGGAUUCUGUCCUGGGCUGACCCAGGCUCUACAGCUAGCAAUACAGAUUCCCCUUGACCCCAGGGUUUCCUCCAGGGAGCCCAGCAUCCUCCCUAUGAGCUGCUCCUCCUGCUCACAUUCUUUAGCUGAUGCUUUUGUGCUGGGUUCUAUCCUUGUGGUUUUCUGCAUUUAUUGGGGGCUUUCUGCAUUCCUCGCUCUGAGGUUGCCAUUUGAACAGCUCUCUGGUCACCCUGGCUAGAAUUCGGCAGCUCUUCUCCCAUGUUGGCUGGUACACCCUGCUUCCUGCCAGGACCCUGCUGCUCUCGGGGUGGAUCUGGGCUAAGCUCCAGAAGACACAAUUCCCAGCUCUGACUCCAUCCACAUGCCCAGAUGUUCCUCUGCUCAUUUCUCCUCUCUUCUCUUCCAAAGCCAGGGAGCAUCUUGAGUGAGAGAAGGCACAAGCGGGUCCACAGCACUCAUUCGGUCCAUUUCCUCUCAAAAACUUUGUAGCAAACACAAGGGUGGGCGUGGAGAGCAGAUUCCUCCCAACUUGGAGGGGCCUCACAAGCCAGCGCUGCAGGCCUUCACUCCCAUAUCAUCUCUGACCAUUUGGUAGUGACUGACCUGGCUACGACAUCUGUGCUUAAGAAGAGUGUGCAAUGAGGGAUUCUCAGUGCCUUUGGAGCUCAAUAUUUUACUGGUCUAUAAGCAACCUGCUACUUACGUUCCAAGCUGAGAACCUAGCCGCCACACAUACAGCAGUGUGUUCGAAGCCACAGUUGAGCAGGGCAGAUCUGAGGAUGAAAUCCAGGUUGUCCAGCCUUUCCUACUGGUGUCUUUAAAGCUGAAAGCUGGUCUCUUAGGAGGUCAGAUGACUGCCUGCCUCCCAGUCUGUGUCUAUUGCUAGCUACCCGGAGUGCAGGAAAGGGGGAGAGGUGGGCUGGAUAGGGCAGACAGGGUAUGAAGGCAGAACACAAAUAGAAGCUGCAGGAGGAGCCAGCACACUGGGUGUGAACCUUGGAGACACAGCAGAGCCAGAGAUCAGAGCCCCUGGGAAUGCCAGUUGGGGUGGGGGUGGGGGGUGUGGUGAGGUGGGGUGGGGGGCUGCCGAAACUGCUGCUGGGGGUGGGGGUGGGGGGUGGAAGGAUAUUUCACGGGGCCAGAGAAAAGGAGUCCAUUGGCCUUAGUAAAGGGACAACAUCUUGUUUUAUUAAAAGCCUGUUGCUGGCUGGAUAAGCCGUCUGCCUGCUGAGUGGGCAGGGGCCCAAUAUUACUGUGGCUAAUUCGGAGCCAGUGUUGGAGAGCUGACAUCAAACCAGGAAACGCUCGCGCGCGCGGCUCUCUCCCUCUCCGGCUCUCCCUCUCCCUCCCUCCGCCUCCUCUUCUCUCAUUCUUGAGCUUGAAUCUACUGUGCAUGAUAUGUGUGCAUGUGUGUCCGUGUGUCUCUCUGUGUGUGACAUUAUGUACACUUGCUGGGAGUUCACCCCAUGGCUCCCUCCUCCUCUUCCUGUCCUCUACUCCCUCUGCCAAGCACCCCAGCCCCACCUUUGCCCCUGGCCUCCUCAGUCUCCGCCCCCAGAAGACUUGAACAGAGAAGACCCAGACUAUGGCCUGGGGUUAUUUACUGAGACGCCUGGGGAGGAAAGUUUCGAAAUGACCAAACCCACCCCUUUCCAGAUCUCCAUUUGUAGGUUAAAAGAAAAAGUAAAGGAAGUCAUUUCAAAAGAAACCAGGAGGAAAGCGGCUCUCUUCGGCAGCAUGUGUGAUUAUUAUUAAUAUUAGACUUGUUUAAGGCAAGGGAAAAAUGUAAAAUGGCUUUUUUCCUGUUUUUAUCGUAGUUUUUUGUUGUUGUUGGUUUUGUUUUUUGUUUUUUUGUUUUUUUGUUUUUUUUUUUCCUUUUUUCUUCUACUGUCUUGGGAGUCAGAAGGGCAAACAGUAAUUUCAGAGUAAGAUGGAAGCCAUCAUCUCCUUAGUUCAUGUGAUGUCUUUCUGGGAAUUGGGAGAGUGAAUGAGUUUCAUGUAAACGCCUAUAAUCACUUUUCCUGCUAAGGUUUUAGAGGACUCUGAGUCUCCCAAUUUGCUGUAACUUAAAGUCACCCAAAUUGCUUCCACUUUUACC